GCCCAGCAACCACGCGGCAGGCCCCGCGCGUCCCCGACUCUCCCCCCCGGCGAGCUUGCUCCACGGCGCACACCUCCCACGGGCCGGUCUGCGGGUCCUUGUUUCAAGCAGGGACGACACACAAAAAUCGUUGGAGGUUUGUGAAAAUAUUUCCAGGAUAAAGACGAAAACUAACAGGAGGUGGAAGAAGAGCUAAAGCGAAACAAACCCAAGCGGGAAACUGGAUUUUUAGAAAAUUAGAAUCAAGUCCUCAGUGAGGUAAGAGGAGAUAGGGUGUUCGCGACACAAGAAGAGAAGGGGAAGUCUUAAAAUUAAUAUUAUGGUGGCAGAGAUUUUUAAGACUCCCUAAAUACGGUUGCGGCCAUCUCCUGCCAAGUGUGGGGUGGAUGUGGAAAGCAGGGGACAGUCCAGAAGAAAAUAAAAGGUAUUUGGUAAAAGGUAUGCCAUCAAAACACCGGGGUUUCCAGGAAGAGACAAGGAGAACAUGAAAAGGAGAGCAGGACGCGACACAGGCUCGUUUUGCAGAACCGGAGCCCCCCCAGCUGCAGGUGAACGCGGGUCCACUCACGGCCCGCGCGGUGGCGGAGAAGGAUGCCCCGCACUGAAGCGCAUCGAGAAAGGGCAGGACCUGGGGGAUGAAGGGAGGAUCCUGCAAGCUUCCAGAGAGGAAACAGGAAAGGCGGCAUCUCAAGGGCUGGGACGAGAGGGCACCCUCCCUGCGGACACGGGGAAGCCUGAGACGCAGCCGCGGUGUCCCGCUGCCUUGAACCCAAACCGCGCAAGGGACCCCAGCGCCCGGGCGCCGCCAGCCAAGUGCGCGCGGGCGCCCAGGUUCCCAAGUCCUUCUCCCUGGAGGCUUCUGAGGCAUCGUUCCGCAGAACGGGAAUUCCAGGGAGAAAGCGGAAGAUGUGAAACCGGGACUAGGGGACCCGCCGCAGGGACGAGUUCCAGGGGGCGUGAGGAGGGGGCAGACGCGGGGCCCCGCGACCACAGACAUCAGCAAGCGGUUGCCGGCUCAGGAUUCAGCGCAGGGAAGAGCCGGCAGAGAAACAGGAAGCAGUGUUCAAGAUUGCUUCAUGGUUCAGGACAGCUGCUCAAGCUCCUACCAUCCUGUGCACAUUCCGGCUGGAAGAAGAAGGAAGGACAAAGGUUAAUCCUAGUGUUAGAACUGGCAAUUAGUGAGGCUCCAAUGGGAUGCCUGGAGGCCAGCAAGGAAGAGGCCAUGGCCAGCCGUCGGGGAAGGUCCAGGCCUGUCCUGGAAGCACUCCAGGAGGAGCCAGAUCAUACCAGAUGGGCCCCAGAUGGCAGCGCUUGA
This 1315-nucleotide long non-coding RNA is filed under the name Canis lupus familiaris (dog). RNAcentral describes it as "lncRNA (ENSCAFG00000051334.1)". The record is from RNAcentral. Lineage: Eukaryota; Metazoa; Chordata; Mammalia; Carnivora; Canidae.